CCUACGGGAGGCAGCAGUGAGGAAUAUUGGUCAAUGGACGAGAGUCUGAACCAGCCAAGUAGCGUGAAGGAUGACUGCCCUAUGGGUUGUAAACUUCUUUUAUAUGGGAAUAAAAUGUUCCACGUGUGGGAUUUUGUAUGUACCAUAUGAAUAAGGAUCGGCUAACUCCGUUCCAGCAGCCGCGGUAAUACGGAGGAUCCGAGCGUUAUCCGGAUUUAUUGGGUUUAAAGGGAGCGUAGGUGGAUUGUUAAGUCAGUUGUGAAAGUUUGCGGCUCAACCGUAAAAUUGCAGUUGAAACUGGCAGGCUUGAGUACCGUAGAGGUGGGUAGAAUUCGAGGUGUAGCGGUGAAAUGCGUAGAGAUCACGAAGAAUACCGGUGGCGAAGGCAGCUCACUGGAC
RNAcentral lists this ribosomal RNA (399 nucleotides) under uncultured bacterium. RNAcentral describes it as "partial 16S ribosomal RNA". It matches the Rfam family "Bacterial small subunit ribosomal RNA", at positions 338 to 734 of the family's 1533-position model. The record is from RNAcentral.